UUAGCUCAGUUGGUUAGAGCAUCUGACUGUUAAUCAGAGGGUCGCUGGUUCAAGUCCAGCA
This 61-nucleotide transfer RNA is filed under the name bovine gut metagenome. It matches the Rfam family "tRNA", at positions 7 to 64 of the family's 71-position model. Rfam says of the family: Transfer RNA (tRNA) molecules are approximately 80 nucleotides in length. RNAcentral also lists the same sequence under 1 other name. The record is from RNAcentral.